AGGAGAGGAAGUGUGUGCAAGGAACUGGGAGCAAGAGGUGUGCAAGAAGCUGAGAAUGGAUGCUGGGGACUGAAAAUCAGGCCUAUGAUUCCUAAACAUAUAUAUCUGCUGUAUCAAAGCCUGAUCCAAGUCUUCAAGACUCAAAGUCAGAAGAUAGGCAGUAGACUGGCUUUAAAAGGAGUUGGCUCAGCCAUUAAAAAUAUAUAAAGUGUAGACUCGCUCUUGUUUUGCUGACCAGUGCUGUCAUGUCUCAUUUGUGAAUUGUAUUGGGAAUCAUUAACUGCCUGAAAUAAACUCUGCUGAU
Long non-coding RNA from Mauremys mutica (yellowpond turtle), 304 nucleotides. RefSeq lists it as uncharacterized. Lineage: Eukaryota; Metazoa; Chordata; Testudines; Geoemydidae. The record is from RefSeq and is a predicted model, not a curated record. The transcript has 3 exons.